RNAcentral lists this ribosomal RNA (450 nucleotides) under uncultured bacterium. Its description in RNAcentral is "partial 16S ribosomal RNA". It matches the Rfam family "Bacterial small subunit ribosomal RNA", at positions 354 to 796 of the family's 1533-position model. The record is from RNAcentral.
GUGGGGAAUAUUGGACAAUGGGCGAAAGCCUGAUCCAGCCAUGCCGCGUGUGUGAAGAAGGUCUUCGGAUUGUAAAGCACUUUAAGUUGGGAGGAAGGGCAGUAAGUUAAUACCUUGCUGUUUUGACGUUACCGACAGAAUAAGCACCGGCUCACUUCGUGCCAGCAGCCGCGGUAAUACGAAGGGUGCAAGCGUUAAUCGGAAUUACUGGGCGUAAAGCGCGCGUAGUUGGUUUUGUAAGUUGGAGGUGAAAUCCCCGGGCUCAACCUGGGAACUGCCUCCAAAACUGCAUGACUAGAGUACGGUAGAGGGUAGUGGAAUUUCCUGUGUAGCGGUGAAAUGCGUAGAUAUAGGAAGGAACACCAGUGGCGAAGGCGACUACCUGGACUGAUACUGACACUGAGGUGCGAAAGCGUGGGGAGCAAACAGGAUUAGAAACCCGGGUAGUCC